This 549-nucleotide ribosomal RNA is filed under the name uncultured Glomus. RNAcentral describes it as "SSU rRNA". It matches the Rfam family "Eukaryotic small subunit ribosomal RNA", at positions 548 to 1098 of the family's 1831-position model. The record is from RNAcentral. Lineage: Eukaryota; Fungi; Glomeromycota; Glomeromycetes; Glomerales; Glomeraceae.
UUGGAGGGCAAGUCUGGUGCCAGCAGCCGCGGUAAUUCCAGCUCCAAUAGCGUAUAUUAAAGUUGUUGCAGUUAAAAAGCUCGUAGUUGAAUUUCGGGAUCGAUGGGUCGGUCAUGCCCUCGGUAUGUACUGGUCUCAUUGGUUCUCACCUUCUAAGGAACCAUGAUGUCAUUCGGUUGAUGUUGUGGGGAAUUAGGACUGUUACCUUGAAAAAAUUAGAGUGUCUAAAGCAGGCCAACGCUUGAAUACAUUAGCAUGGAAUAAUGAAAUAGGACAUCCGAUUCUAUUUUGUUGGUUUCUAGGAUCGAUGUAAUGAUUAAUAGGGAUAGUUGGGGGCAUUAGUAUUCAAUUGUCAGAGGUGAAAUUCUUGGAUUUAUUGAAGACUAACUACUGCGAAAGCAUUUGCCAAGGAUGUUUUCAUUAAUCAAGAACGAAAGUUAGGGGAUCGAAGACGAUCAGAUACCGUCGUAGUCUUAACCAUAAACUAUGCCGACUAGGGAUCGGAUGAUGCUUAUUUUUUAAUGACUCAUUCGGCGCCUUACGGGAAAC